Non-coding RNA from Triticum aestivum (bread wheat), 115 nucleotides. Lineage: Eukaryota; Viridiplantae; Streptophyta; Magnoliopsida; Poales; Poaceae. The record is from Rfam.
GAUAUACUCCCUCCGUUCCGCAUUACUCGUCGCAGAAAUGGAUGUAUCUAGAUGUAUUUUAGUUCUAGAUACAUCCAUUUCUGCGACGAGUAAUUUGGAACGGAGGGAGUAUCUU